Long non-coding RNA from Syngnathus acus (greater pipefish), 212 nucleotides. RefSeq lists it as uncharacterized. The transcript is spliced from 3 exons. The record is from RefSeq and is a predicted model, not a curated record. Lineage: Eukaryota; Metazoa; Chordata; Actinopteri; Syngnathiformes; Syngnathidae.
GGACAGGUCCCUCUACUAAAGCAGUGCUUCUCAAAUAGUGGGGCGCGCCCCCCUUGGGGGGUGCGGUGCAAUACCUGGGGGGGCGCGUGUGACCCUGGGGAACAGGCUUUUUUUUUGGCAGUACUAGAAUAAAGUGUAAUUGCGCAUUUACUACAGUAGGCGGCAGUAGCGCUCUCAUUGUUACUUCUGUCACGUUUGCGACAGUGCAACAU